This 1548-nucleotide ribosomal RNA is filed under the name Staphylococcus haemolyticus. Its description in RNAcentral is "bacterial SSU rRNA". It matches the Rfam family "Bacterial small subunit ribosomal RNA". Lineage: Bacteria; Bacillati; Bacillota; Bacilli; Caryophanales; Staphylococcaceae. The record is from RNAcentral.
GAUUAGAGUUUGAUCCUGGCUCAGGAUGAACGCUGGCGGCGUGCCUAAUACAUGCAAGUCGAGCGAACAGACAAGGAGCUUGCUCCUUUGACGUUAGCGGCGGACGGGUGAGUAACACGUGGGUAACCUACCUAUAAGACUGGGAUAACUUCGGGAAACCGGAGCUAAUACCGGAUAAUAUUUCAAACCGCAUGGUUCGAUAGUGAAAGAUGGUUUUGCUAUCACUUAUAGAUGGACCCGCGCCGUAUUAGCUAGUUGGUAAGGUAACGGCAUACCAAGGCGACGAUACGUAGCCGACCUGAGAGGGUGAUCGGCCACACUGGAACUGAGACACGGUCCAGACUCCUACGGGAGGCAGCAGUAGGGAAUCUUCCGCAAUGGGCGAAAGCCUGACGGAGCAACGCCGCGUGAGUGAUGAAGGUCUUCGGAUCGUAAAACUCUGUUAUUAGGGAAGAACAUACGUGUAAGUAACUAUGCACGUCUUGACGGUACCUAAUCAGAAAGCCACGGCUAACUACGUGCCAGCAGCCGCGGUAAUACGUAGGUGGCAAGCGUUAUCCGGAAUUAUUGGGCGUAAAGCGCGCGUAGGCGGUUUUUUAAGUCUGAUGUGAAAGCCCACGGCUCAACCGUGGAGGGUCAUUGGAAGCUGUAAAACUUGAGUGCAGAAGAGGAAAGUGGAAUUCCAUGUGUAGCGGUGAAAUGCGCAGAGAUAUGGAGGAACACCAGUGGCGAAGGCGACUUUCUGGUCUGUAACUGACGCUGAUGUGCGAAAGCGUGGGGAUCAAACAGGAUUAGAUACCCUGGUAGUCCACGCCGCAAACGAUGAGUGCUAAGUGUUAGGGGGUUUCCGCCCCUUAGUGCUGCAGCUAACGCAUUAAGCACUCCGCCUGGGGAGUACGACCGCAAGGUUGAAACUCAAAGGAAUUGACGGGGACCCGCACAAGCGGUGGAGCAUGUGGUUUAAUUCGAAGCAACGCGAAGAACCUUACCAAAUCUUGACAUCCUUUGACAACUCUAGAGAUAGAGCCUUCCCCUUCGGGGGACAAAGUGACAGGUGGUGCAUGGUUGUCGUCAGCUCGUGUCGUGAGAUGUUGGGUUAAGUCCCGCAACGAGCGCAACCCUUAAGCUUAGUUGCCAUCAUUAAGUUGGGAACUCUAAGUUGACUGCCGGUGACAAACCGGAGGAAGGUGGGGAUGACGUCAAAUCAUCAUGCCCCUUAUGAUUUGGGCUACACACGUGCUACAAUGGACAAUACAAAGGGCAGCGAAACCGCGAGGUCAAGCAAAUCCCAUAAAGUUGUUCUCAGUUCGGAUUGUAGUCUGCAACUCGACUACAUGAAGCUGGAAUCGCUAGUAAUCGUAGAUCAGCAUGCUACGGUGAAUACGUUCCCGGGUCUUGUACACACCGCCCGUCACACCACGAGAGUUUGUAACACCCGAAGCCGGUGGAGUAACCAUUUGGAGCUAGCCGUCGAAGGUGGGACAAAUGAUUGGGGUGAAGUCGUAACAAGGUAGCCGUAUCGGAAGGUGCGGCUGGAACACCUCCUUA